Molecule: long non-coding RNA, 927 nt
Filed under: Suricata suricatta (meerkat)
Lineage: Eukaryota; Metazoa; Chordata; Mammalia; Carnivora; Herpestidae
Description: lncRNA (ENSSSUG00005012193.1)
Source: RNAcentral
GCUAAGGGGGCGGGUGUUCAGUUUGGGAGGCAUCCGCAUUGGGCCAUGAUGAGUGAGAAGUCACGUGAUCACAGGUGAAUGCCCAUACUAACUACCCAAAGCAAUCUCUAGAUUCGGUGCGGUCCCUAUCAAAAUCCCACAGCGCUUUUCACAGAAAUACAACAAACAGUUCUAAAAUCUGCAUGCCGUCACCACGACACAGAGCAGCCCUAGCAAUCUGGGGAAGGAACAACGCCUUGGCAUCACCUACCUGACUGUAAGUAUUUCACAAAGCUAUAGUGCUCAAAACAGGAUGGCCUUGGUGAAACACACGUAGGUCCAUGGAACAGAGCAGAAAUAAGCCCCGGCACAUAUGGGCAAUUAACUUAUGACAAAGGAGGGGCACCUGGGUGGCUCAGUCGGUUAAGCCUCUGAUUUCAGCUCAGGUCAGAUCUCACGUUCGUGGGUUCGAGCCCUGCAUCAGGCUCUGUGCUGACAGCUAGCUCAGAGCUUGGAGCCUGCUUCGGAGUCUGUGUCUCCCUCUCUUUCUACCCCUUUCCUGCUUGCACUCUGUCUCUCUCUCUCUCUCAAAAAUAAAUAAACAUUAAAAAAGUUGGACGCUUAGCCGUAUGAGCCACCAGGCACCCCUGCUUUAGCUGCCUUGUAAUUAAAUCACUGCGUGUCUGUUGAGGACUAAUUCUGUGCUGGUGUGUGGCAGUUUCAGGGGCUGCAAAGAUAAGCGAGACACGAAGGAGGGGGAGACACAUGGGCACACAGCGUCAGGUGCUCCAGUGGUUGGUGCUGACGCCAGACCACCGUCCCGCCGCGCCGCCGUUCUGGCCUGUAAGGCCUUCCUGGCAGCCUGCCCCGGGGGCCCAGCGCGGCGUGGGGCACCGUGGGAGCAGCGGGACACAGCGGGAAACACGAGGACCGCUCGGGCUUUGAAUC